RNAcentral lists this non-coding RNA (770 nucleotides) under Pongo abelii (Sumatran orangutan). The record is from RNAcentral. Lineage: Eukaryota; Metazoa; Chordata; Mammalia; Primates; Hominidae.
GGCGCGCCUUGGAGGGAGAGGACUUUAGGUGACGCCGCCAGGAGGCGAAAUUUCACCUGCCAGCAGCUCUGGAGGUCAAAAGAAAUGAGACUGCUGGGCUAAGAUCAAGGUGUCAACAGGGCUGUAUUCCUUCCCGAGGCUCCAGGGGAGAAUCUGUUCUCUUGCCUUUCCCAGCUUCUAGAGGUUGCCUACAUUCCUUGGCUUGCGGCCCCUUCCUCCAUCUCCGGAAUCAGUAACGAAAGAUCCAAGGCCAUAUCCUGGCUGAGUUGGCUGAGUUGAGCAGGACACUUGACAAGGAGGCUGCUGAGCCUGCAACUCGAGUGUUCUGUUUGAGGAGCUCUGUGCUUUAUCAUAGAAAUGGAUCUGGUGAGUGCAAAGCCCAGGGAAUCUAAGGCAGCAUUUGCACUGUGGUAUUUCAGCGUCAUCAGUGCUGAAUCUUCCUAACCCUAAAAAACUUACUGAGAUUGGAAAAAUAACUUUCCUACUGUUAGUCUGAAUCUCUUGAACCCCUUCUCCUACCUUCACCCACUGAAUCCAUUGUUUUUAUAGUUCAGUGCUUGACAAUGUGUUUUCUUUUUUUUUUUGAGACAAUAUCUCAGUCUGUUGUUCAGGCUGGAGUGUCAGUGGCAUGAUCAUGGCUCACUGCAGCCUCAAUCUCCCUGGGCUUUGGAGAUCCUCCUAACUCAGCCUCCCAGGUAGCUGGGACUAUAGGCAUGUGGCACCACGCCUGGCUAUUUUUUUUUUGAGACAGAGUUUCACUCUGUCACCCA